AUAGCGCAUGCUAAACUGCACACAUCACAAGAAUAUAGCCUGCAAGAUGUGGUGAGGGAGGUCGCGGAAUUUAGGAUAACCCGACUGACUGACGUGGAGAACGUGGAGUCACGAUUUACAGCUUGACCAUUUAUUUACUGAUAAACACUACUUCACCUAAGAGACUUGAGUAUCCAGUUCUUUAUUGACCUUCAGCAUUCAGUUGUUUGUCUUCACCUUUUCAGGUUUCCUGUGUCCAGCAUCUUCAAGACAGACUAAGCUAACUUUUCAUAUUUUGUGCACAUUUAUAUUUAGGUUAGGUUAGGAAU
Long non-coding RNA from Centropristis striata (black sea bass), 308 nucleotides. RefSeq lists it as uncharacterized. NCBI's taxonomy places the organism in Eukaryota, Metazoa, Chordata, Actinopteri, Perciformes, Serranidae. The transcript is spliced from 4 exons. The record is from RefSeq and is a predicted model, not a curated record.